RNAcentral lists this ribosomal RNA (653 nucleotides) under Clostridioides difficile. Its description in RNAcentral is "bacterial LSU rRNA". It matches the Rfam family "Bacterial large subunit ribosomal RNA", at positions 662 to 1323 of the family's 2925-position model. Lineage: Bacteria; Bacillati; Bacillota; Clostridia; Peptostreptococcales; Peptostreptococcaceae. The record is from RNAcentral.
GGAGCCGUAGCGAAAGCGAGUUUUAACUGAGCGUUCAGUUACUUGACGUAUACCCGAAACCGGGCGACCUACCCAUGAGCAGGAUGAAGCGGAAGUAAAAUUUCGUGGAGGUCCGAACCCACGAGCGUUGAAAAGCUCGGGGAUGACGUGUGGGUAGCGGUGAAAUUCCAAUCGAGCCCGGAGAUAGCUGGUUCUCCCCGAAAUAGCUUUAGGGCUAGCCUCAAGGUGAGAGAUACGGAGGUAGAGCACUGAAUGUCCUAGGGGGUAUUGCACCUACCGAAGACUAUCAAACUCCGAAUGCCGUCAUCUUAUACUUGGGAGUCAGACUGUGGGUGAUAAGAUUCAUAGUCGAAAGGGCAACAGCCCAGAUCGUCAGCUAAGGUCCCUAAAUGUAAGUUAAGUGGUAAAGGAUGUGGGAUUGCACAGACAACCAGGAUGUUGGCUUAGAAGCAGCCACUCAUUCAAAGAGUGCGUAAUAGCUCACUGGUCGAGUGAUCCUGCGCCGAAGAUUUCCGGGGCUAAAACUUACUACCGAAGCUACGGCAUCAGUAAUGAUGGGUAGGGGAGCUUCCCAUACGGGUUGAAGCAUGACCGUAAGGACAUGUGGACAGUAUGGGAGUGAGAAUGUUGGCAUGAGUAGCGAGAUGUGGGUG